This 1343-nucleotide long non-coding RNA is filed under the name Paramuricea clavata. The record is from RNAcentral. Lineage: Eukaryota; Metazoa; Cnidaria; Anthozoa; Malacalcyonacea; Plexauridae.
CUCUGGUCACAUCAGGGCUGUAUCACCAAGAGGGCAGUAAGGCUUAUAUGUUGAAAAAAAGUCCCAAAUAUGCAAAGAAUAAUUAACAAUGACAAUCUAAAAAUUGUAAAUACAGUUUUCUUUAGGGGGGCAGUUGCCCCCUGCCGCCCCCUCUCCUCCGCUGUGUAAGGCCCCAGGGUGACAUUUUUUGCAAAUGCCACUUCCACACUUGAUUAGGUUCAGAAUUUGAAUCUCGCAUGUGAUUGGCCAUUUGUAAAAAUAUGUCAAACCGGUUUGGGAAAUAAACAUUGCUGUAAGCUAAUUAUAGCCUGUAUUAAAAUAUUCUAUUAAAGUCAAUACAUGCUUGGGCAUGUAUUACUAACAUGUCCUGCAAAACUGAUUAAUAUGUUUAUCUCCUGAGAAAUUCGAUACCUUUUUCACCUGUAGGAGUAUUAAUAUUCAUGCUUGGUUGAGUUUAAUAGAAUAUUUUAAUACAGGCUAUAAUUAGCUCACAGUAGUGUUUAUUUCCCAAACAGGUUUUUCUUAAACAGGUUGUUUACAAAUGGCCAAUCACAUCCAAGGUCUAAAUUCUGAACCUAGUCAAGUUUGGAAGUAGGAUUUGCAAUCGAUGUGACCAGAGGCUCUCCGUUCUUGCCUCUUGUUUCUUUCACCUUGCAAAGAGCCUCUAGAACCAGGGUACACUUAAAAAUAACACACAGGCAGACCAAUUGCUGCAAUUGAACUAAGUACCAGUCAACAUAAGUCCCUGCCUGCUUGAAUCUAGGAAGUGUGGGGUUCAUGGGGCGAAGCAGGGUCACUGAGACAAAACCAGAUAUUCAUACAAUCCAACAAUUUUGAUUAUGCAGUGCUGAAAAGUAAAAACUACCAACUCCUGGGUUGGGGGAGGUGGUAAUUUACAUUGACUGGUAUUGUACACUAAAUAGAUAUGGGGUGCCAUUGAUCAGAAUCAUCAGAUGAACAGCUGCCAGUUCCGAUAUCUCAGGACUGCUGUGAUUCAAACAUGUUCUGGAGAUUAUGAGUACUAUUUUAACUUUGCUACACGCUCAUAUUUUGGAACAAUUUCCAAGGACAAACUGACUAUAAAGAUCUGUAUAAAAUAUAAAUCUUACUUUAAAAUUUCCAUCAUAGCAAAUGCAAUUCACCUGCCUGCAAAAAGGUUAAUCCACUUGGAACGUUUUCCGUGGUUGUGGACAUUCAUUCCACAUCGAAUGCAUCCUGUCCAACAUCAGCGAUUGCCCAGUUUGUCAAGCAACAACGUUGGCAAAUGUUGAAGCUCUUGGAAGGCCUUGGAAAGACAGCAAAUAUUAACGCUGUUUGCCUCGGCGACUCGCUUUGGAGAGGAC